RNAcentral lists this long non-coding RNA (537 nucleotides) under Mizuhopecten yessoensis (Yesso scallop). RNAcentral describes it as "uncharacterized LOC110465712". Lineage: Eukaryota; Metazoa; Mollusca; Bivalvia; Pectinida; Pectinidae. The record is from RNAcentral.
GGAAGACGGAAGCGAUCAUGGCUGUUAAAGUGUCAUCUAAUUGGAAUCCCUGGGAACUCUUCAGAGAAUCCCCAAAGGAUCUAAAAAAUACUGAAAAUAGGAAGGCACUGCACACUGUUGCACGAGCUGACAUCUCCUUAUUCCAGUGGCACUGGUUACAUUUUUGAUCCAUCAGUGCAAAGACACAUCGCAGCAAGAGUGACGAGAUUUCAACACUUUUCGGUCACAAACAACUCAAUUUCCAAAGUGUUUCUCCUGUACAUACUGCCGAUUUCUCUUACUUGUUAUGUGUGCCACAAAUAUCGGGUUUGGUAUGUCAACGGUAUUGAUUCAGGAGAAAUUCCGCCGUCCAAACAGCCCAAUAAAUUCAUGUGGUAGACUAAGUGUAUCUACUCAUUAAAUCAAUGACAGUGAAGUGAGCAAUUUAAGUGGAAUAAUCAAUUCGACUGGAGGAACACAUUUUUCAGAUUUUGUUUUAAGUGGAUGCAGCUAUCCUAUUAAAUGUAUGAAUAAAAGAUAUGCAUGUGUGCACUGCUA